GUGAUAUUAAGAUAAAAAUUCUGUUAACUUUCAAGGUUAAAAGUGCUUUUUAUA
RNAcentral lists this transfer RNA (54 nucleotides) under Dolomedes angustivirgatus. RNAcentral's name for it is "tRNA-Trp". The record is from RNAcentral. Lineage: Eukaryota; Metazoa; Arthropoda; Arachnida; Araneae; Dolomedidae.